This 852-nucleotide ribosomal RNA is filed under the name uncultured bacterium. Its description in RNAcentral is "bacterial SSU rRNA". It matches the Rfam family "Bacterial small subunit ribosomal RNA", at positions 9 to 904 of the family's 1533-position model. The record is from RNAcentral.
GAGUUUGAUUAUGGCUCAGGAUGAACGCUGGCGGUCUGCUUAACACAUGCAAGUCGAACGAACUCUUCGGAGUGAGUGGCGGACGGGUGAGUAACGCGUGAGAAUCUGCCUGUGGGUCGGGGACAACCACUGGAAACGGUGGCUAAUACCGGAUGAGCCGAAAGGUAAAAGAUUUAUUGCCCACAGAUGAGCUCGCGUCUGAUUAGCUAGUUGGUAAGGUAAAAGCGUACCAAGGCGACGAUCAGUAGCUGGUCUGAGAGGAUGAGCAGCCACACUGGGACUGAGACACGGCCCAGACUCCUACGGGAGGCAGCAGUGGGGAAUUUUCCGCAAUGGGCGAAAGCCUGACGGAGCAAGACCGCGUGGGGGAGGAAGGUUUUUGGAUCGUAAACCCCUUUUGUCAAGGAAGAAGCUCUGACGGUACUUGACGAAUAAGCCUCGGCUAACUCCGUGCCAGCAGCCGCGGUAAUACGGAGGAGGCAAGCGUUAUCCGGAAUGAUUGGGCGUAAAGCGUCUGUAGGUGGCCAGCUAAGUCUGCUGUUAAAGAUCACAGCUCAACUGUGGGAAGGCAGUGGAAACUGGCAAGCUAGAGGUUGGUAGGGGUAAAGGGAAUUCCCGGUGUAGCGGUGAAAUGCGUANAUAUCGGGAAGAACACCGGUGGCGAAAGCGCUUUACUGGGCCAGACCUGACACUGAAGGACGAAAGCUAGGGGAGCGAAAGGGAUUAGAUACCCCUGUAGUCCUAGCUGUAACCGAUGGANACUAGGUGUAGCACGUAUCGACCCGUGCUGUAUCGUANCCAACGCGUUAAGUCUCCCCCCUGGGGNAGUACCCNCGCAAGUGUGAAACUCAA